This is a non-coding RNA of Vicia faba (fava bean), 291 nucleotides long. NCBI's taxonomy places the organism in Eukaryota, Viridiplantae, Streptophyta, Magnoliopsida, Fabales, Fabaceae. The record is from the annotation of a GenBank genome assembly.
CUACGAAUCAGAGAAGCAGCCAUGUUUCCAGGAUUCAUGCGAAAGCCAGACAAGACUGCAGCAUUGAAGGAGCUCAAAACUCACGUCGCCAUGUUCGGGACAUGGGUCGUUGUUGUUCGUCUCACCCCUUACAUUCUUCACUUUCUCAAUCGCGAAAGCGAGGAACUCAAGCUCGAGCUUUAGAUUCGCAUAAUAUGAGUGGUCUUGAGAAGGAUACUUGCUUGGGUUCUGGAGGAACUUCAUCAAAUAAUGUUUUUCUGUAACCCUUAAAAUUGUGUGGAGAUGAUACAU